RNAcentral lists this ribosomal RNA (501 nucleotides) under uncultured bacterium. RNAcentral's name for it is "partial 16S ribosomal RNA". It matches the Rfam family "Bacterial small subunit ribosomal RNA", at positions 28 to 523 of the family's 1533-position model. The record is from RNAcentral.
GAUGAACGCUAGCGGCAGGCUUAAUACAUGCAAGUCGAGGGGCAGCACAGAUAGCAAUAUUGGGUGGCGACCGGCAAACGGGUGCGGAACACGUACACAACCUUCCUUUUAGUGUGGGAUAGCCCAGAGAAAUUUGGAUUAAUACCACAUAGUAUCUUGGAGUGGCAUCACUUUGAUAUUAAAGAUUUAUCGCUAAAAGAUGGGUGUGCGUAUGAUUAGGUAGCUGGUAGAGGUAACGGCUCACCAAGCCUUCGAUCAUUAACUGGUGUGAGAGCACGACCAGUCACACGGGCACUGAGACACGGGCCCGACUCCUACGGGAGGCAGCAGUAAGGAAUAUUGGUCAAUGGACGGAAGUCUGAACCAGCCAUGCCGCGUGAAGGAUGACGGCCCUCUGGGUUGUAAACUUCUUUUAUGUGGGACGAAAAAGGGCCAUUUUUGGUCAACUGACGGUACCAUAGGAAUAAGCACCGGCUAACUCCGUGCCAGCAGCCGCGGUAA